Molecule: long non-coding RNA, 1603 nt
Organism: Alligator sinensis (Chinese alligator)
Lineage: Eukaryota; Metazoa; Chordata; Crocodylia; Alligatoridae
Exons: 2
Source: RefSeq, a predicted model, not a curated record
CCGGGGGCAAGCCAGGUGCGGCUCGGCCCGAGAGGGAGGGGGGGGGCACGGCCCCGUCUCAUGAAUUGCCCCCCACCACCCUCAGCAAUCCCCUGCUCCCAGGCUCAGGUGAAUUCCGCAUCCUCACCCGGGGCUGCGGCCUGCAACCCCCUCCCCCAGCCCCUGGCACCUUCUCCGGAAAGAGCCACUGUGAACCCCCCCGGCCGCCUCCGCCCCUUGCUCUAAAUGCAAACAGAUUAAAGCCUGAAGAACUCGCGCUGCUGCAUUAUUUAUGGGGCCUCUUAGAGUGGUCCUGUUGCCACCGAGACCGGGGAGGGGGGAGCGGGUGAUGAUAAAGCAAAAUCUGCAGGGUGGAAAGGCGCUGGGCAGGGCCCGCUGGGAAGCCGGGCCGCCCGGGGGCUGUGCGGGGCCCGCGCCCGGCCUCCGCUGCUGGGCCGGGCUCUCCGCAAACAGGCAGACAAAGCAGCCAGGACCCCCCGGCCCCGGCCCGGGAGCCCCCGCCCCCUACUCGCUACGGGAGACUGACAAAUUUGUUAAUCAAAUAAAUCUGCAUGGAUAAAGUUUAUAGAGCCGGACAGGCAGCCCCCGCGCCGGGCCCGGAACGCGGUCCCCGGCUCCCGGCCCGGACUGCGGCGCGCACACACGUACCAUAACGCGCGUUAGGCGCUCUCCGCCAGCCCCGGCUGGCCAGGCGGCAGGGAGGGGCAGGGCUGAAGGGCGCUGCGGGGGGGGGCUCCGUUCCCGGAGUGCCCUGCUCCACGCGGAGCAGCUCAAUAUACCCCGAAAGGGCCGCUGAGGCCGAGCUGAGUGAGGGGCUCCCGGCUGCGCGGCAUGAAAGCAACUCUCCAGUCGCUGCCUCCUCCAUGCUGCAUUUUUCCGAGCGAGGAUGAAAAGGAAGAGCCACACAUGGGGGGGGCUCACCGAGGCCCGGGAGGCACCGGGCGGGGUGGGGGCUGCACCCUGCGGGGCUCCGAUGCACCCUGUGCGGGGCAGGAGAGAAGAGAAAGGGACCUCACGGCACCCCCGCACCCCAGCUCUGCUGCGCUGCCUUCCCCGCCUGCCACCCCGCACCCCCCGCAGGCGAGACAACCUCAGCCCCCGCCAGGUUUGGGGGAAACCGCUCGCACGAGAGAUCAUGUUGUGACAUGUCAAAAGGUGCUGGGAAGCUGCCACCACGGCCCACUGCGCUCACAAGGAAGCAGGCAGACAGGUCACAGAGGAGACCCUGGCGCAGGGAAUCCCACAAGCUGGACUCUGGAGCCCUCCCCAGGAGGGCAGACUUGUGCAGGGGUUGGCGUGUGAGGGUGGCUCAGAGGAAGGGCCUGUUCUGACCUCCCUUGUGCCGAUGUCGACCAGCAGCACCUUGAAAACAAGGGAGGAAUACUGGGGUGAGCGGAGUCCGACCCCAGGCACGGCGUCGGUGGGGUCUUCACGCACAGGUGGAUGUGGAAGUGGGACAUAGCCGACUGCAGUCUCUUCACGGCGGGGACCUCUCCCUGGCAGUGUGGAGCUCCCAGGGGGCAGACAGGCACUGCAGCACCUUCCUGCUUCUCCUUGGCUUGUGCACAAGCCCCGUUAAACCUCUCCCAACGCUGCUUCCAGU